Molecule: ribosomal RNA, 885 nt
Filed under: Pandoraea sp. MZ2674K
Lineage: Bacteria; Pseudomonadati; Pseudomonadota; Betaproteobacteria; Burkholderiales; Burkholderiaceae
Description: bacterial SSU rRNA
Rfam family: Bacterial small subunit ribosomal RNA
Source: RNAcentral
GUCGAACGGCAGCACGGGUGCUUGCACCUGGUGGCGAGUGGCGAACGGGUGAGUAAUACAUCGGAAUGUACCUUGUAGUGGGGGAUAGCUCGGCGAAAGCCGGAUUAAUACCGCAUACGCUCUGAGGAGGAAAGCGGGGGACCUUCGGGCCUCGUGCUACAAGAGCAGCCGAUGUCAGAUUAGCUAGUUGGUGGGGUAAAAGCUCACCAAGGCGACGAUCUGUAGCUGGUCUGAGAGGACGACCAGCCACACUGGGACUGAGACACGGCCCAGACUCCUACGGGAGGCAGCAGUGGGGAAUUUUGGACAAUGGGCGAAAGCCUGAUCCAGCAAUGCCGCGUGUGUGAAGAAGGCCUUCGGGUUGUAAAGCACUUUUGUCCGGAAAGAAAUCCCUUGGGAUAAUACCUCGGGGGGAUGACGGUACCGGAAGAAUAAGCACCGGCUAACUACGUGCCAGCAGCCGCGGUAAUACGUAGGGUGCAAGCGUUAAUCGGAAUUACUGGGCGUAAAGCGUGCGCAGGCGGUUUUGUAAGACGGAUGUGAAAUCCCCGGGCUUAACCUGGGAACUGCAUUCGUGACUGCAAGGCUAGAGUAUGGCAGAGGGGGGUAGAAUUCCACGUGUAGCAGUGAAAUGCGUAGAGAUGUGGAGGAAUACCGAUGGCGAAGGCAGCCCCCUGGGCCAAUACUGACGCUCAUGCACGAAAGCGUGGGGAGCAAACAGGAUUAGAUACCCUGGUAGUCCACGCCCUAAACGAUGUCAACUAGUUGUUGGGGAUUCAUUUCCUUAGUAACGAAGCUAACGCGUGAAGUUGACCGCCUGGGGAGUACGGUCGCAAGAUUAAAACUCAAAGGAAUUGACGGGGACCCGCACAAGCGGUGGAUGAU